GUGAGUGUGCGGGUGUUGGGAAGAGACACGGAGCCCAGGGAGGGGGUCGGCCGAGCUCCCGAGGCCUCAGUGGGCAGCAGACUUUCCCUGUGUGGGGUCCCCGGAAUCGCUGCUCUUCCAGGCCCGGGACUGCGGAGAACUCGCCAGGCCACAUCUGGGGACGCAGCCACCCCAGGUGCGGGCCCCGACCCUACCGGCGUGGGCAGGUAGCUUCUGGUCUCUGGACGUGCCUCAGUUUCCCUUCCCAGAGGCGGGUGGCCACCCCGCUGCGAGGAGGUUCUUAGCGCUGUCUGCGCCUCCGCCGCGGUAGGGCAGCUUCGACAGGGUCUGGCCAUGUAGCCCAGGCUGCUUGAACUCCCAGCGAUCCUCCUGCCUCAGCCUCCCAAGUGCUGGAACGAGAGGCAUGGAUGGGCCAGCACGCCCUGUGGGUCCUACGGGUGCUCAGCGGCUGGCUCAGGGCUGGCUAAUCUGCCAAGGCCACUAAGACUGUGCCAAGGACAUCAGUUCUUUUGUCUCCACAGCUGAAGGGCAAAGCAGGGAUGAGGCCUCUGCCUCCUGAGGCACUGGGCUGAGGGCGACAAAAGUGCUGGAGCCACACAUGCCUGGGACAAGGGCCCAGCUCUGUCACCUGGGAGCAAUAGUGGGGGACAUGGGGCCAGAAAUUGAUUCUGCUGAGCAGUCGGCCCCUUGUGUGGAUCUAGCCACUCAUUGAUAUUCAGCUGCUCAUUAAUAUUUGACCACUAGUUAAUAUUCAAUGGAUAAUUAAUAUUCAAC
Molecule: long non-coding RNA, 774 nt
Filed under: Heterocephalus glaber (naked mole-rat)
Lineage: Eukaryota; Metazoa; Chordata; Mammalia; Rodentia; Bathyergidae
Description: lncRNA (ENSHGLG00100035029.1)
Source: RNAcentral